CUCCGUGCAGACAGCGACAGGAUGGCUGGAAGGCUUGGUAUAAGAACUCCAAGAAAAAAAAAUUGAUGGAAAUGGAUAUGUAACAGAGAAAGGGUAGCGGCACUAGGAUUAGAACCUCUCCUAGAUUUGAUGGGAUGUGAAAAAGAGAUCUAUGGAGAAAUAUGUUAUGCUAAGAUUAGUACCUCCCCUAGACUUAUGA
This 199-nucleotide long non-coding RNA is filed under the name Elaeis guineensis (African oil palm). Its description in RNAcentral is "long non-coding RNA (EGUI_LNC021549)". Lineage: Eukaryota; Viridiplantae; Streptophyta; Magnoliopsida; Arecales; Arecaceae. The record is from RNAcentral.